Molecule: long non-coding RNA, 1806 nt
Organism: Falco peregrinus (peregrine falcon)
Lineage: Eukaryota; Metazoa; Chordata; Aves; Falconiformes; Falconidae
Exons: 3
Source: RefSeq, a predicted model, not a curated record
CCCGCCGCCCGCCCCGCUCACCCGAAAUCCUGGUCCAUGGACUUGAAGAAGAACUUGUAGCUGUGCACGGGCCGGUUGCUGAGGACAUUUUUGAAAUCGGCCAGAGUGACUUUCUCCGGCGGGACGGGCAGCUUCACCAGAGAAAUAGUCUUUCAAUAUUCUUUCAAACUUCCCAGAAUAUUCCGCUGCUUUCUGAGAAGGGCUAAAUCCCAGCUCAGGGACUGAACUACCUGCGGCACUGGACAGAUUUUUCUACCAGCUUGAAACAGAGGAGCCAACUGUGUUAGAGGCUGCCAAAAGCAUGGUGCUCUAGUUUGCCUGUGGCAUUUAAGAGGAGGGGAAAAAAAAAAAAAAAGGUAAGUUUAAAUCUUAGGAAAAUGCUGUUGAGUCAGAUGUUCCCAGUGGGGCUGGCAUCAGCUCCAGGAUGAUCUCACUUUGCCCAAAGUAUCUUUUUUCAGGAGGUCUCAUUUGGCUUCCCCUCACCAUGAAGAAUCUCACCUACAGAUUGUAGCAGGGGCUGACCAGGAAAGUCCCACAACAAUACCAGAAUGGGUACUUCAGAGGAGAUCUUUGUCGUACAUGGCCCCUGGCUCUACCUGCUCAACUUUUUUCUUUGUUGUAACAGAAUUAAUUUUCUGAUCACUCGUUCUCAGCGACAGCAGAGGCCAGAGAGAAGGAACUACUCCCCACCUCCUUCUCACUGUCUUCAGCUCCCAACCCUUUUAACCUAGGGUUUACACACACACCUACACCCCCACACACCCCCACACCCUCCCCAGUUAUCUGAGAAGACACAAGCAGCCAUCACUGGGCAAUCCACCCUAGUGAAGACGUGGUAUGAAAUGGCUGGCUGUAGUAUGAUUUCCAACCAGGUGAGAGAAAAGAUAAUACUUCCACCAGAGGUAGACAAGCCGGUCCAUAAUCUUAGUUUGCUAAAUGCACUUCUUUGCCACUUUUUAGCUUCGUAUCCUGCUUUGAUCCUUCAAAUUCUUGCACCUGCACUGUCCAUCCAUGCAGCAAUACAAGCUGUUUCCAUCAGUGUCCCUGGAAGAACUCUGUCAUGCCAGCUGGGAUACUACUCAGUGGGUGGAAGCCCUCCAAGAGCAGAAUGUGCAGCAGGAACUUUGCAAGGUGUUAGUUCUGCAAGGAAAAGAGGAAUUUGGGCUGGAAGCGAAGUAUAAAACUGUGCAGCUAACUAUUCCAGCAGGACAUGUUACCUUCCCUUCUGGCCCUGCCAAAUUAUGUACUAUGAAGGAGCUGCCAGCCUUCAGUUCUGAUAGAUGCUUUGAACAUACCAUCUACAGCUGCAGAUCUGUUCAGUAUACAACACUUCUGAAAAGCUAAAAUCCGUCUGCGGGCCCUAUGACCAAGUCAAAUGAUGAUGUCCCAUGUGGAAACCACAUUGAAAUCACUGGAAUAACUUAUUGCAUCCGCUCUGCACUUUGUCAAGCACUUUGGGAUGCUCCAAGAUGAAAUAUACUGCACAGCUAUUGGGAAGAAUUAGUAAUGCUGGCUAAUGGCUUAGAUAGCAUCUCCAAAGAGCAAGAAAUAAAAUCAACCUUAACUUGAAACUCCAUUAUAUUCUCCUUUAUUUCUUAAAUGUUAGGAGAGUUACAGAACAAUGAUAAAUGGUAAAAGUUAAGUGACAACAAUAAUGAAAAUUAAUUCUGUUACAACAAAGAAAAAAGUGUUACGGAACAAGCCCUCCUCUCUGUCUUGAGAGGAAGCAGAGCAUGCACAGAGCUGAAAAGAAGGGGCUCUUGUUCUCGUCUCAGUUUUAACCCCUUUCAAGGUCCCUUUUCUUGU